GAUGAACGCUGGCGGCGUGCCUAAUACAUGCAAGUCGAGCGAACAGACGAGGAGCUUGCUCCUCUGACGUUAGCGGCGGACGGGUGAGUAACACGUGGAUAACCUACCUAUAAGACUGGGAUAACUUCGGGAAACCGGAGCUAAUACCGGAUAAUAUAUUGAACCGCAUGGUUCAAUAGUGAAAGACGGUUUUGCUGUCACUUAUAGAUGGAUCCGCGCCGCAUUAGCUAGUUGGUAAGGUAACGGCUUACCAAGGCAACGAUGCGUAGCCGACCUGAGAGGGUGAUCGGCCACACUGGGACUGAGACACGGUCCAAACUCCUACGGGAGGCAGCAGUAGGGAAUCUUCCGCAAUGGACGAAAGCCUGACGGAGCAACGCCGCGUGAAUGAUGAAGGUCUUCGGAUCGUAAGACUCUGUUAUUAGGGAAGAACAAAUGUGUAAGUAACUAUGCACGUCUUGACGGUACCUAGUCAGAAAGCCACGGCUAACUACGUG
This 497-nucleotide ribosomal RNA is filed under the name uncultured bacterium. RNAcentral's name for it is "partial 16S ribosomal RNA". It matches the Rfam family "Bacterial small subunit ribosomal RNA", at positions 28 to 507 of the family's 1533-position model. The record is from RNAcentral.